RNAcentral lists this long non-coding RNA (378 nucleotides) under Mytilus galloprovincialis (Mediterranean mussel). Lineage: Eukaryota; Metazoa; Mollusca; Bivalvia; Mytilida; Mytilidae. The record is from RNAcentral.
CAACUAUCAUGUUCUUCAAUAAUAUAGGUACCUCAUUUAUGUCUUUCAAAACAUUUUUAACUUAAUUUAUUUUUGCUCCUCAACCAUUUUGUGAAAAGUCUUAUCACUUGCCGUUUUCCGUGUUCUGUUGUCGUUUCAAACAAAUUUCCGGAAAUGCACGAAGUUGCAUGUGAUAAACGUCACGGAAAUUAACGGAAAGGCAUGUGAUAACAUUCCGGAAGCAGUCAAUAAAGGUACCUUUAUCAGCCCGCUAUGGAGUUUCUUAGGAAUCUGAUCAAUAAACCUAGUAAUCCUUUCAUAGCCUUUUGAUAUUUUCAAAUGUUAUUGAACUGUAAAAUUUUAGUAAUAUUUUAUACAAGUAUAUGAUAAAAUUAUAUA